UGCGGAGUAGUGCAGCGGCAGCGCGCCGGGUUCAUCUCCCGCGAGGUCGCAGGUUCGAAUCCUGCCUCCGCCAC
This 74-nucleotide transfer RNA is filed under the name Actinoplanes sp. L3-i22. RNAcentral's name for it is "tRNA-Met". It matches the Rfam family "tRNA". From Rfam's summary of the family: Transfer RNA (tRNA) molecules are approximately 80 nucleotides in length. The record is from RNAcentral. Lineage: Bacteria; Bacillati; Actinomycetota; Actinomycetes; Micromonosporales; Micromonosporaceae.